UCGAGAAUCUUCCGCAAUGGACGAAAGUCUGACGGAGCGACGCCGCGUGCGGGAUGAAGGCCCUCGGGUUGUAAACCGCUGUCAGAGGGGAGGAAAUUUUGACCGAUCCUCAGAGGAAGCGCAGGCUAAGUUCGUGCCAGCAGCCGCGGUAACACGAACUGCGCGAACGUUAUUCGGAAUCACUGGGCUUAAAGAGUUCGUAGGCGGCUUGGUCAGUCAGAUGUGAAAUCCCACAGCCCAACUGUGGAACUGCGUUUGAUACUGCCAAGCUUGAGGGAGUUAGAGGAAAGCGGAACUGAUGGUGGAGCGGUGAAAUGCGUUGAUAUCAUCAGGAACACCGGUGGCGAAAGCGGCUUUCUGGAGCUCUUCUGACGCUGAGGAACGAAAGCUAGGGGAGCGAACGGGAUUAGAUACCCCCGUAGUCC
This 425-nucleotide ribosomal RNA is filed under the name uncultured prokaryote. Its description in RNAcentral is "bacterial SSU rRNA". It matches the Rfam family "Bacterial small subunit ribosomal RNA", at positions 355 to 796 of the family's 1533-position model. The record is from RNAcentral.